This 465-nucleotide ribosomal RNA is filed under the name Vreelandella stevensii. RNAcentral's name for it is "partial 16S ribosomal RNA". It matches the Rfam family "Bacterial small subunit ribosomal RNA", at positions 338 to 795 of the family's 1533-position model. The record is from RNAcentral. Lineage: Bacteria; Pseudomonadati; Pseudomonadota; Gammaproteobacteria; Oceanospirillales; Halomonadaceae.
CCUACGGGAGGCAGCAGUGGGGAAUAUUGGACAAUGGGGGCAACCCUGAUCCAGCCAUGCCGCGUGUGUGAAGAAGGCCCUCGGGUUGUAAAGCACUUUCAGUGAGGAAGAACGCCUGGUGGUUAAUACCCAUCAGGAAAGACAUCACUCACAGAAGAAGCACCGGCUAACUCCGUGCCAGCAGCCGCGGUAAUACGGAGGGUGCGAGCGUUAAUCGGAAUUACUGGGCGUAAAGCGCGCGUAGGUGGCUUGAUAAGCCGGUUGUGAAAGCCCCGGGCUCAACCUGGGAACGGCAUCCGGAACUGUCAAGCUAGAGUGCAGGAGAGGAAGGUAGAAUUCCCGGUGUAGCGGUGAAAUGCGUAGAGAUCGGGAGGAAUACCAGUGGCGAUGGCGGCCUUCUGGACUGACACUGACACUGAGGUGCGAAAGCGUGGGUAGCAAACAGGAUUAGAUACCCCAGUAGUC